CAAACGGUCCUUUUGAGGACCAUAGAUACUAAAUUGACGAUUGAA
Sarcoptes scabiei is the source of this 45-nucleotide non-coding RNA. The record is from Rfam. Lineage: Eukaryota; Metazoa; Arthropoda; Arachnida; Sarcoptiformes; Sarcoptidae.